RNAcentral lists this long non-coding RNA (2624 nucleotides) under Lynx pardinus (Iberian lynx). Lineage: Eukaryota; Metazoa; Chordata; Mammalia; Carnivora; Felidae. The record is from RNAcentral.
GCCGGCUGGUUCCCCUCUCUUCCCCACAGCCCCUCCGCACUACCCCUGGCUAAAGGCGGCCCGGCCGAGGCUCCGAGAGCAAGUGAGUAAAAAAGGGGCGUCUUCUAGCCCCCCCCCGCCCCCGCAAACUAGGCCGGGGAGUGGGGGCGGAAUGAACCGAGUGGGCUGGAGUUGGCGGGAGGGAGCUUUUCGUCCCUUUCCCUCUCCUGGCCGCACGGCCUCCCCCUGCUCGCCGGUGACUUGCAACGCGAAGCUCAAGUCGAUAAAGAUCUUCCUUGGGGUCUGAUUUAGAGGCCGGGGUACAACCCAGAUCCUGCGAGCCGCCGAGUAGGUUAAGGUGGUCCGAAGACUGUUCGAGAAGAAGUAUCCAUCCUUGCUUAAGGUGCCGCGCCCUGCUGAGGUGACACAAGUGCGUCUGCAUGCAUGCGGUGGGGUGUCGGGGCCCCCAGUCCUGCGGGCAGGGCCCGGACGCCCCUUCCGAGGUCCGACCUGUGCCCUGGAACCCAGUUGGACCCCGCCCGCACCUUCCCGGAACGCCAGAGCGCACCCCUCCUCAGGUGGAGGACAGAGGAAGUUGGCCGCAGAAUCAGCGUUCAUUUUAAAUGAAAAAAAAAAAAAAAAAAAAAUCCUGGGGAGAUUUCCCAGGUGGUGUAAAUACAGAGGCUACCGAAGCAUUAGUUCUGGAGGAAGAAUUCGUAGCAGGUUUGCGGGAGUCCCGAAGCGGGAUGCCCUAUGAACCCGAUGUACCUAGAUAAUAACCUUUCCCCCAGCUAGUCGAAGUCUGUGUACAAGUGUUUCGAAAAAGAUCUGUACCUCUUCAAGAGUGGUGACCUGACGCUUACGCGAAGCCCGCAAUUUGGCGUGAGGGUGAGCCGAUGCAGGGUUGCACACAAAAUGUGCCUUGUGCCCAUUGGAGUAAGAGGGUGGCAGACUUUCUGGUAGAUGGGAUUUUGAAGAAGAGAUAAGGCAGUUUUCCCAUUUGGGCGAUGGAAGAAUGUUCCCCAUAUUUGGAUUUGCUUCACUUCUAGUACAUAAGCUUCGCCAAACUAACGUGAAAGUCGACGAUGGUGGAAGUGGACAGGGGAUUAAGCUAAUUGCUGUUAAAGUGACCUCAGUGGCCAGAUAGGGCUUCUGCCCCUUUCAGUUUCUGGACCUGGAUUUACUGGUGGAGGUAGGUUUUUCUCCCCGGAGAGGUGACCGCUUCAAAUACCUGAAAAAAAUCUGCUGCGAUAUUUGGUCCGGUACUCAGCUCAGUGUAGGUCUGGGAUGGUAUCCUUAACAUUUCUCCCAGGGCCUGUUGUAUGUACAUGAGUUCUUUCUAUGUGUGAUCACAAAUGCUACUUCUGAUCCCACAGACUGCUUUAUCUGACAUGCUUCCUACAUCAAGGACUUUUAAUAUAAAAUAAAUCAUAGAACUAUAAGGACUUAAGACUUUAAACUCUCAUUUAAUAAACAGGAGAAAACAGACAUUCCAUCAAGAUUGAAUCAUCAUCUUACAAUCUCAUCUAACUAGGUAGCUUAAAAAAACAGGAUUUAGGGGCCCAAUCUAGGUUGGUUUCCACUAUCCAAUCCUUUACUCCCAAAUAACCAGUUUUAUGUUCUAUUUCCAAAACAAAACAAAAAAAAAAACCUUUUAAAAUUAUAUUUCAGUGGCUUGAGCUCCGACUCCAAGUGAUGAAUUCAUCUUAGUAGUUUUGGAACAGGCCUUCCUUAUGGUUUGUACUUCAAGACUAAGGACACUUAAAAGGUAAAUUAAUUUUGGUAAAAAAAAUUAUGUGGCUGUUAUAAUCUGUGACCCUGUGUUUUAAGAAAUAGUUUAUAAAAGAUUACUGAAAUGAGACACACAUUUUCUUUCUUGUUACAUGGGAGCUAGAAUUGAUCCCAUGUAUUGUUAGUCAUGACGAGUCAAUAAAUCGGGUCACUGAUGAUAUAACUCAGCUUAUUUAUUCUCAGUGUCACUGGUAUAGUCACUAAGCAGUUUUAUACAAGUAAAGUCACUUCUGAUACUUUUUUUUUUCUUCCGCAGAGGGAAGUUGCAUAGUUCACCUGUAGCCAACUUGACAGCAUAAUUUUUAGGAGUCAAGAAUCGACAUUGGGUUAUUUCUUAAGAUUGAGCCUUGAAAGUCCACUUGGAUGUGACGCAGCUCUGUGCACACUUGCACGUGAAAAUGAUCUUCCAUCAAGGAGCUCUCCCUCUUCAGCUAAAUCAACAGCAGUCGUUCAAAGAAGAAGGGACCCCCUAUCUGACCAAACUCAGCCAGACUAAUCAAAUAAGUCUUUGUGAGCAAGGAAUAAAGCUGCACUAGGGUGGCCCCAUCACACCUUUCUUGAGCAGCUCCCUCUAAGAUUGCCACCUACAUGCAGGUCAUACCCUGUACGAAGGAUGGAUGGAAGAUUCUUGUGAACAGAUUAGGUUUAUUGUAAAAGAUGAAAUAUUUGACCAAAAUUGAAGUUAAUUUCAUGGAUAAAGUUCAAAACAUUACUGUAGAUAUGAAUUAUGUUUGUAUGUAUUUAUAUAUGUAUGUAUAUAUAGUUAUGUGGUUACAUGUUUCUAUGUAUCAGAAAUUAGCACAACUUAAACUUAGUAAAUGUUGAAAAUAAAACUAUUUUGGAUAUUGGAAUCA